AAAUGAGCUAAAGUUUUGUGGAGCCAGAUGCUAUGUUGGGUGCUGGCGAUAAAUAACAAUCCUGUGCUUGUCCUCAGGGAGCUCACAGUCUAGCAAGGAGGCCUGAGAGUAACAAAUGCUCACACCAAGCAGGCUUUUCUUGCAAUCAGGAUCAGCCCUAGGAACUGUAAGGUGCAGGUUGCUGCAGUAACAAGGCGUCUAAUUUAGGUUGGGACUCAGGUCCCUCAGGAGUUAGUUACACUGAGCUGACUCCAGAAGCAACAAGUGUUCCUGGCAGAGGAAGGAGCUUAUGCAAAGGCACUGAAGUUAACGGGCACUUGGGGGGUUCUGGGAAGGAAAAAGAGGUCAGCACAAUAAAGAAAAGGAAGCAGGGGAUGAGAUAAGGCUCUCGAGGUUUGAGAGAGAUUAUCUAAAACAUUGAAGGCCAUGCUAAGGAAGUAGGAUUUUAUUUCAAGUGUGAUGGGCAGCCCGUGGGUACUUGUGUUUUAAGAUCUUCUUAGCUCUGUGUGGAGAAUAUCAGUAGUGGACCCAGGGGAGCAAGAGCAGACACUGGGAGACCUAUUAGGGUGACCUUGUGGGUGCCCUCGGGCCUGAGGGUAGCAGCUAGAUGAGAGGGGGAACACAUGGGUGGAGAGAUGUGAACAGGUUCAGGAAAUAAUUAGAAGACACAAUCUCCAGGCUGAUUGGUUGAUAGAUUGAAUGAGGGGGGUGGGGGAUGACGCAGAGGGGAGUUAAUAUUAAAUCACUCAUUCAUUGGACAAUUAUUUAUAGAGUCCCCUCUGGUUGCCAGGCACUGUUUGAGGGAGGCAGACUCUCUGGGAUCAAAUCCUGGCUCUGUCACUGGCUGUUUGCCUCAGGGAAGUUAUUUAACCUCUCUUUGUCUGUAAAACAGGGACCCUAAGAAUUCACGAGAGGAUUAUUGCAAGGGUUAAAUGAGUUGGUAUAUGUGAAACCUUGGAUCUGAGUGUUUAGAGCCAGGUUCUGAGGCUGAGGACUUGGGUUUGAGUAACUUGGGGCUGAGUGCUUAGGCCUGCUUUGUAGAGCAACCAACGCUUCCAUUUCUUUACUUCCCUUAUACAGAAAGUUUGUUUGUUUGAGAUAGGGUCCUUCUAUAUAGUCCAGGCUGGCUUCAAACUCACAGUGAUCCUCUUGCCUCAGCCUCCUGAGUGCUGGGAUUACAGGCGAGGGCCACCACACCCAGAUCCCUUGUCUAGAAAGUUGAAGCAGGUUGAUAUGCUGGAGCAGUGGUUCCCACUCCUGUCUGAACAUUAGGAUCACUUGGGUUUUUGCUUUUGUUUUUUUAAUUCCAAAAGUCCAGGCUGCACCCAAGAUCAAUUACAUCUCAAUUUCUAUGGAUAAGACACAGCACAGAUGGCAGUAUUUUUUUAAACCCUCAGGUGAUUCCAGAAGCCAGGCACGUGGUGCAUCCCUGUAAUCCCAGCACUCAUGAGGCUGAGACACGAGGAUCAUCUGAGCCCAGCUUGGACUACAUAGUUCGUGGUCAACCUGAACUAAAUUGAGACCCUGUCUUUAAAAAAAAAAGUGAUUCCAGGUCGCACCUGAGACUCUUGGUAGCUGUUGGCACUGGGAGUUGACCCCCCCCCGACUCAUCAAGAAUUCAUGCUCACCCACUGGGGCACCGGUCUGCCAAGAACGCCACCUGUGGCAUCAUCCCUACUGCCACCUACCCCAUCCUGCCAUGACUUGUAACUAAGCAGCCCCUGGCAGAUCCUCUUGCCAACCUCUAACACUUCCUGUUUCUCACACCUGCUCAAUGACAGAGGCGGACCAGGCUGUCUGCUGGCCAGACAGUGGCGAAGCACAGGCCCAGAUAGGGACACAGCUGGUCAGUCAUGCAGCGAUGCUAAGGGGAAACAGGCCCCACACCAAGCCCCUGCUUCUCUGCUAACUAGGCCUGAUUUGGGGAGGUCUCUCUCUGCCUAACUUCUUGGUUCUAACCUGCUGGGGAGAUCUGGUUCUCCAUUGGAUGGGGUGUGGGAGGGUGGAGGCUAACACCACCCUGCACUAGCGUGUGUGUGUGAAUAGAACAAAAGCAGUAAAAUGACCUCAGUUGGGUUUUGUGGUUUUUUGCAUGGCUGGACUGGCAUUUCCCUUGAUGUUGGCUACAGAGGAAGAAUCGGUCCAGUUAAUCCUAGGAAAAUGACUUGAGACCAGCUCUCCAGGAAGACUAAGAAACUGAGGUCUAGAGAGGAUCGAUGAAGACAAAGGACCUCAACAUUGUCUUCCAGCAAGGCAGUCAGAGAUGAGGUCUGUUUUAUCUUAUUUGGCCCUGGAGAUGGACUCUACCACUGAGCUGCACUGCCAACCCCUGGGAUCUGUUUUGGAGUCAUUUUAAGGAGGCCUAUAGGCACCACCUGCAAGCUGUUCAUCUAUCCUCUGAGUUGGAGGAGGAAAGGAAGACCUUGCCAAGCCCUCCAAACCUGCUUAUAUUCUCUGUCUGGGGGAGUCUGUGCUUUGUCACAGACUGGACUCCUGGCUUCUCCAUCCUGCCUAACCAAAGAGUAGCUGGGGGCUUCUCUUAGUGAGAACACCCCUCAUUCUGCUUCCCUCACCCCCAAGAACCCUAGGAAAUGAAGCCUGGGCAUUCCGUCCCUGACUGGUGACAGGAGGAUCUGGCGCAGAGACGUCUCAAGGGAGGGGAUGUCUGAGCUGUGCUCAGAGGACAAUAGGGAGUUUUUCAGGAAGGUGAGCUUCAGAAGGGCAUUCCAGCCUGGGAGCCACCCUGCUGUGGCCCAGAAACAAAAUCAGCUGGCUCUGUCCCUGGAGCUGUGGUUGACCUGACAGGAAAAUGAGGGUGGGAGCCUGAGGAUAAGGCAGGCCAGAGCCAGGCCUUGUUGGGCUUCUCAUUGCAAGGGUGAUUCACAGGACAAAGUGUCUUCUGUUUUCUCAUCUAGGUCAUUGGGGAGAGUGACAGAGAAGGUUCUGGACUCCAGCUGGAAGAGGGAGGGCAGGAGGAAUGAAAGGGUUUUGAGAACCACAGGCUACUCCUCCUCCCUGUUUUUCAAGGUGCUCAUAGACAGGAUGCUGCUGCCACCCAAAGUGAGCUCAGACAGGUCACUGAACCCCAAGCCCUAGGCCUGGGAAUCCAAAUGUCUGGAAACCAUUGGUCUAGUCCAAUCCCCUUACUUGCACAUGGAGAAGCAGAGGCCCUGAGAGGGGAAUCCAAUUUCCUCUGUGUUACCAUCCCAAACCAGAGAUGACUGUCAGAAGUGAAAAUUAUCAUCAUCAUCAUCAUCAUCAUCAUCAUCAUCAUCAUCAUCAUCAUCAUCCUUUUCUUCAUGUCUGGAAUAAAAAUACUAUGUUAUUAAUAAUGCUAACAACAAGGCCAGGGAUUUAGCUCAGUGGUUUCGCCGCCU
This is a non-coding RNA of Heterocephalus glaber (naked mole-rat), 3377 nucleotides long. The record is from RefSeq and is a predicted model, not a curated record. NCBI's taxonomy places the organism in Eukaryota, Metazoa, Chordata, Mammalia, Rodentia, Bathyergidae.